AAUUUGAUACCAUUGUCUAACUAAACCCACUCUAUUACCAAGUUAUAACUUCUUUUUUGGUCAAAUACACCGAGUUCAAAUUGCAUCUCAUACUUACCGUAUUUGAGAUGAAAUGACAUCGAUAUUUUGUUGAGAUAUUGUAUAAAAUUGAUAUGAUUUUGACGCUAAUGGUGCAAAUACAAGUCCAUCAAACCCCCAUACUGACUGAAAACGAGAUUGAUAUACAUUGUAGCAGAUAAUUUUGCUCCUCCUUUUUUUUU
RNAcentral lists this long non-coding RNA (260 nucleotides) under Malus domestica (apple). RNAcentral's name for it is "long non-coding RNA (MDOM_LNC012011)". The record is from RNAcentral. Lineage: Eukaryota; Viridiplantae; Streptophyta; Magnoliopsida; Rosales; Rosaceae.